RNAcentral lists this ribosomal RNA (500 nucleotides) under uncultured bacterium. Its description in RNAcentral is "partial 16S ribosomal RNA". It matches the Rfam family "Bacterial small subunit ribosomal RNA", at positions 30 to 523 of the family's 1533-position model. The record is from RNAcentral.
AUUGAACGCUGGCGGCAUGCCUUACACAUGCAAGUCGAACGGCAGCACGGGAGCAAUCCUGGUGGCGAGUGGCGAACGGGUGAGUAAUAUAUCGGAACGUGCCCAGUCGUGGGGGAUAACGCAGCGAAAGCUGUGCUAAUACCGCAUACGAUCUAUGGAUGAAAGCGGGGGAUCGCAAGACCUCGCGCGAUUGGAGCGGCCGAUAUCAGAUUAGCUAGUUGGUGGGGUAAAGGCCAACCAAGGCGACGAUCUGUAGCUGGUCUGAGAGGACGACCAGCCACACUGGAACUGAGACACGGUCCAGACUCCUACGGGAGGCAGCAGUGGGGAAUUUUGGACAAUGGGCGCAAGCCUGAUCCAGCAAUGCCGCGUGCAGGAUGAAGGCCUUCGGGUUGUAAGCUGCUUUUGUACAGAACGAAACGGUCCUUUCUAAUACAGAGGGCUAAUGACGGUACCGUAAGAAUAAGCACCGGCUAACUACGUGCCAGCCGCCGCCGUAA